AGACAGUUCGGUCCCUAUCUGUCGCGGGCGCAGGAUAUUUGAGGGGAUCUGUCCUUAGUACGAGAGGACCGGGAUGGACGAACCUCCGGUGCACCGGUUGUUCCGCCAGGAGCAUAGCCGGGUAGCCGAGUUCGGAUCGGAUAAACGCUGAAAGCAUCUAAGCGUGAAACCGGCCCCAAGAUGAGAUAUCCAUCAGACCCCACUGAGACUAAGUGGUUGAUAGGUCAGGAGUGGAAGUUCAGUAAUGGACGGAGCGGACUGAUACUAAUAGGUCGAAAGUUUGACCAA
RNAcentral lists this ribosomal RNA (288 nucleotides) under Clostridia bacterium. Its description in RNAcentral is "partial 23S ribosomal RNA". It matches the Rfam family "Bacterial large subunit ribosomal RNA", at positions 2624 to 2925 of the family's 2925-position model. Lineage: Bacteria; Bacillati; Bacillota; Clostridia. The record is from RNAcentral.